RNAcentral lists this ribosomal RNA (254 nucleotides) under uncultured bacterium. RNAcentral describes it as "partial 16S ribosomal RNA". It matches the Rfam family "Bacterial small subunit ribosomal RNA", at positions 524 to 776 of the family's 1533-position model. The record is from RNAcentral.
UCCGGGGGGAGCAAGCGUUGUUCGGAUUUACUGGGCGUAAAGGGCGCGUAGGCGGUCGUGACAAGUCACUUGUGAAAUCUCCGGGCUUAACUCGGAACGGUCAAGUGAUACUGUCGGACUAGAGUACAGAAGGGGCAACUGGAAUUCUCGGUGUAGCGGUGAAAUGCGUAGAUAUCGAGAGGAACACCAGUGGCGAAGGCGGCUACCUGGACCGGUUCUGACGCUGAGGAGCGAAAGCUAGGGGAGCAAACGGG